AACGCGAAGAACCUUACCCAGGCUCGAAAUGGUGAGGACUGCAACAGAGAUGUUGCUUCCCGAAAGGGUCUCACUAUAGGUGCUGCAUGGCUGUCGUCAGCUCGUGCCGUGAGGUGUUGGGUUAAGUCCCGCAACGAGCGCAACCCUUAUUGUCAGUUGCCAACGCGUAAUGGCGGGGACUCUGGCAAGACUGCCUAGGUUAACUAGGAGGAAGGUGAGGAUGACGUCAAGUCCGCAUGGCCUUUAUGUCUGGGGCAACACACGUGCUACAAUGGUAGGUACAGAAGGCAGCGAAGCCGCGAGGCGGAGCAAAUCCGAAAAAGCCUAUCUCAGUUCAGAUUGGAGUCUGCAACUCGACUCCAUGAAGUUGGAAUUGCUAGUAAUGGCGUGUCAGCUACAGCGCCGUGAAUACGUUCCCGGGCCUUGUACACACCGUAGUAC
RNAcentral lists this ribosomal RNA (441 nucleotides) under uncultured bacterium. Its description in RNAcentral is "bacterial SSU rRNA". It matches the Rfam family "Bacterial small subunit ribosomal RNA", at positions 958 to 1398 of the family's 1533-position model. The record is from RNAcentral.